UACAGAGGGUGCAAGCGUUGUUCGGAAUUACUGGGCGUAAAGGGCGCGUAGGCGGCCUGCUAAGUCACACGUGAAAUCCCUCGGCUCAACCGGGGAACUGCGUGUGAUACUGGCGGGCUUGAAUUCGGGAGAGGGAUGUGGAAUUCCAGGUGUAGCGGUGAAAUGCGUAGAGAUCUGGAGGAACACCGAUGGCGAAGGCAGCCUUCUGGGCCAACACUGACGCUCAUGCACGAAAGCGUGGGGAGCAAACAGG
RNAcentral lists this ribosomal RNA (253 nucleotides) under uncultured bacterium. Its description in RNAcentral is "partial 16S ribosomal RNA". It matches the Rfam family "Bacterial small subunit ribosomal RNA", at positions 524 to 776 of the family's 1533-position model. The record is from RNAcentral.